Molecule: long non-coding RNA, 825 nt
Organism: Oncorhynchus kisutch (coho salmon)
Lineage: Eukaryota; Metazoa; Chordata; Actinopteri; Salmoniformes; Salmonidae
Exons: 3
Source: RefSeq, a predicted model, not a curated record
UUCUAUCUUUCUGUUGUCAUUCAGAUAAACAGCUUGACGGCAGCCUGUACCAGCUCUGACAUGUUUUUUACGUUCUUUUCUAGACCCUCUUCUCAUUCUAAGACGCUCUUUGAUAUAAUGCUCUUAUGGGGGAUUCUCUCCCAGACCAGGCGCCACCACCACCAACUCCCAACAGAAGUCUCAACAGAGAAGACGAACAUAGCCUCAAAACGACUAACGUACGAGCAAAUGGCCUCUCGCACGACUCCCUCGGAAACCAGAGUGAUCGGGAAACUAAAGUAGAACAACGGCUCUAUUCCGUAAGUGACAACUAAAGCUCAGAGUCCUGCCCGGCGAAACGAACGGCAUGCACCAAGUGUCUGUUCGGAUUCAUCACACACACAGACAGACAGAGGGAGAGAAAGAGAGAGGGAGCGGGUCCUUCAUGAAAAUAAAAGAAGAGGGAGAAGAGGGAAGAAGAGUGACACAAGAUCGUCGGAGUGGUGCAUUAAAAUUUAUCUGCAAGUCAGCGGCUGCCAUGAUAGCUGGAAUAAACUUCUCUUUGAAAGGCUCUUUCUCUCUCUCUCUCUCUCUCUCUCUCUCGUCACUUCACUUGUCCUCAGCCAUUCUCUGCUUCCCUCAGAACCAAGACAACUACCCUCUCUGUCCUCAUCAAUUCUUCACCGCUAUUUUGAUGUUUAUUUCCAUAAUUUGCAUAACCUCUCUCUCAUCUGUUCUUUUUUUCACCCCUCUUUAGUUCGCACGGAGCUGCCGUUCCUCUUUCCUUAACUUUAAAACGCUACUUUAAAAUGAAUGCAAAGGAAAUAUAUAAAUAUCUAAAGUUGG